GCACUGCUGAGGAGUCCCAUACUUGGACGAAACGGCCGUUCAGUGC
This 46-nucleotide non-coding RNA is filed under the name Schistosoma haematobium. Lineage: Eukaryota; Metazoa; Platyhelminthes; Trematoda; Strigeidida; Schistosomatidae. The record is from RNAcentral. RNAcentral also lists the same sequence under 1 other name.